UGUUUGAUGUUCUAACGUUGGCCCGUAAUCCGGGUUGCGGACAGUGUCUGGUGGGUAGUUUGACUGGGGCGGUCUCCUCCUAAAGAGUAACGGAGGAGCACGAAGGUUGGCUAAUCCUGGUCGGACAUCAGGAGGUUAGUGCAAUGGCAUAAGCCAGCUUGACUGCGAGCGUGACGGCGCGAGCAGGUGCGAAAGCAGGUCAUAGUGAUCCGGUGGUUCUGAAUGGAAGGGCCAUCGCUCAACGGAUAAAAGGUACUCCGGGGAUAACAGGCUGAUACCGCCCAAGAGUUCAUAUCGACGGCGGUGUUUGGCACCUCGAUGUCGGCUCAUCACAUCCUGGGGCUGAAGUAGGUCCCAAGGGUAUGGCUGUUCGCCAUUUAAAGUGGUACGCGAGCUGGGUUUAGAACGUCGUGAGACAGUUCGGUCCCUAUCUGCCGUGGGCGCUGGAGAACUGAGGGGGGCUGCUCCUAGUACGAGAGGACCGGAGUGGACGCAUCACUGGUGUUCGGGUUGUCAUGCCAAUGGCACUGCCCGGUAGCUAAAUGCGGAAGAGAUAAGUGCUGAAAGCAUCUAAGCACGAAACUUGCCCCGAGAUGAGUUCUCCCUGAGACUUAGAGUCUCCUGAAGGAACGUUGAAGACGACGACGUUGAUAGGCCGGGUGUGUAAGCGCAGCGAUGCGUUGAGCUAACCGGUACUAAUGAACCGUGAGGCUUAAC
Molecule: ribosomal RNA, 717 nt
Filed under: Escherichia coli
Lineage: Bacteria; Pseudomonadati; Pseudomonadota; Gammaproteobacteria; Enterobacterales; Enterobacteriaceae
Description: partial 23S ribosomal RNA
Rfam family: Bacterial large subunit ribosomal RNA
Source: RNAcentral